RNAcentral lists this ribosomal RNA (253 nucleotides) under uncultured bacterium. RNAcentral's name for it is "partial 16S ribosomal RNA". It matches the Rfam family "Bacterial small subunit ribosomal RNA", at positions 524 to 776 of the family's 1533-position model. The record is from RNAcentral.
UACGGGGGGGGCAAGCGUUGUUCGGAAUUACUGGGCGUAAAGGGCGCGUAGGCGGCCUUCUAAGUCAGACGUGAAAUCCCCAGGCUUAACCUGGGAACUGCGUCUGAUACUGGAUGGCUUGAAUUCGGGAGAGGGAUGCAGAAUUCCAGGUGUAGCGGUGAAAUGCGUAGAUAUCUGGAGGAAUACCGGUGGCGAAGGCGGCAUCCUGGACCGAGAUUGACACUGAUGAGCGAAAGCCAGGGGAGCAAACGGG